RNAcentral lists this transfer RNA (57 nucleotides) under Ovis aries (sheep). It matches the Rfam family "tRNA", at positions 8 to 63 of the family's 71-position model. From Rfam's summary of the family: Transfer RNA (tRNA) molecules are approximately 80 nucleotides in length. Their secondary structure includes four short double-helical elements and three loops (D, anti-codon, and T loops). The record is from Rfam by way of RNAcentral. Lineage: Eukaryota; Metazoa; Chordata; Mammalia; Artiodactyla; Bovidae.
UAGCUCAGAGGUUAAAGCACGUGCCUGGAAUGCAGGAGACCCAGGUUCGAUCCCUGG